This 509-nucleotide ribosomal RNA is filed under the name uncultured bacterium. RNAcentral's name for it is "bacterial SSU rRNA". It matches the Rfam family "Bacterial small subunit ribosomal RNA", at positions 34 to 518 of the family's 1533-position model. The record is from RNAcentral.
CGCUGGCGGCGUGCCUAAUACAUGCAAGUCGAACGGUCUUUCUAUGGAAGCUUGCUCCACUGAGAAGAUAGUGGCGAACGGCGAGUAACACGUGGGUAACCUGCCCAUAAGAGGGGGAUAACAUCCGGAAACGGGUGCUAAUACCGCAUAGUUUUCUUGAUCGCAUGAUCGGGAAAGGAAAGACGGCCUUUGUGCUGUCGCUUAUGGAUGGACCCGCGGCGUAUUAGUUAGUUGGUGAGGUAACGGCUCACCAAGACGAUGAUACGUAGCCGACCUGAGAGGGUGAUCGGCCACAUUGGGACUGAGACACGGCCCAAACUCCUACGGGAGGCAGCAGUAGGGAAUCUUCCGCAAUGGACGAAAGUCUGACGGAGCAACGCCGCGUGAGUGAAGAAAGGUUUUCGGAUCGUAAAACUCUGUUGUCAGAGAAGAACAAGUUGGAGAGUAACUGCUCCAGCCUUGACGGUAUCUGACCAGAAAGCCACGGCUAACUACGUGCCAGCAGCGGC